Molecule: ribosomal RNA, 486 nt
Filed under: uncultured bacterium
Lineage: Bacteria
Description: partial 16S ribosomal RNA
Rfam family: Bacterial small subunit ribosomal RNA
Source: RNAcentral
AUUGAACGCUGGCGGCAUGCCUUACACAUGCAAGUCGAACGGCAGCACGGGUGCUUGCACCUGGUGGCGGGUGGCGAACGGGUGAGUAAUACAUCGGAACAUGUCCUGUAGUGGGGGAUAGCCCGGCGAAAGCCGGAUUAAUACCGCAUACGAUCUACGGAUGAAAGCGGGGGACCUUCGGGCCUCGCGCUAUAGGGUUGGCCGAUGGCUGAUUAGCUAGUUGGUGGGGUAAAGGCCUACCAAGGCGACGAUCAGUAGAUGGUCUGAGAGGACGACCAGCCACACUGGGACUGAGACACGGCCCAGACUCCUACGGGAGGCAGCAGUGGGGAAUUUUGGACAAUGGGCGAAAGCCUGAUCCAGCAAUGCCGCGUGUGUGAAGAAGGCCUUCGGGUUGUAAAGCACUUUUGUCCGGAAAGAAAUCCUUGGCUCUAAUACAGUCGGGGGAUGACGGUACCGGAAGAAUAAGCACCGGCUAACUACGUG